GUGCUCGCUUUGGCACCACAGAUACUAAAAGUGGAAUAUACAGAGAAGAUUAGCAUGGCCCCUGCACAAUUCGUGAAGUGUUUCAUAUUUUA
RNAcentral lists this small nuclear RNA (92 nucleotides) under Microtus ochrogaster (prairie vole). Lineage: Eukaryota; Metazoa; Chordata; Mammalia; Rodentia; Cricetidae. The record is from RNAcentral.